GUGCUCCCUUCGGCAGCACAUAUACGAAAGUUGGAACGAUACAGAGAAGAUUAGCAUGGCCCCUGUGCAAGGAUGACAUGCAAAUUCGUGAAACAUUCCAUAUUUUU
Small nuclear RNA from Grammomys surdaster, 107 nucleotides. Lineage: Eukaryota; Metazoa; Chordata; Mammalia; Rodentia; Muridae. The record is from RefSeq and is a predicted model, not a curated record.